Molecule: long non-coding RNA, 854 nt
Filed under: Phoenix dactylifera (date palm)
Lineage: Eukaryota; Viridiplantae; Streptophyta; Magnoliopsida; Arecales; Arecaceae
Description: long non-coding RNA (PDAC_LNC003066)
Source: RNAcentral
UUGAAUGCUUGUGGGAAAAGUUUCCUAUGAGUAUACGACAGUUGCUGCGAUCCCAGGUCGCGAUCUUGGUUUGGGGGCAUAACAUUGAUAUUUAAAGAUUCUUAUUUGAAAGGCAAUAAUUUCACUAGAUGGAUAACAGUAAAUAAAAUUAGCCAUCAAGGAUCAAAAAAAGAUAAUUUCCCAAGGAUAUCCAUAGUUACAAGUGGCACAAUAAGCAUAACGCAGUCUUGGCAAUCGUGAGUUGGCUACCAUGCAGAUAACUUGUGUACUAAAGCUCCUUUUGGUUAGCGGCUCAGUCUGAUGCUAUUAGUUUCUCAAUUGGAAUUAGGCUACAAUCCUAGGUAAGAUUAGAUGUUCUUUAGAACUUGGGCCUAAGGGCAAAUGGAUUUGGAGAUGAUGGACUAACCAAUGUAUUAUGAUAAUACAUGCACAAGAGUAUGUCAGCUUGUCUGCGAUGCUUUUAAAAAUUACAUACUUGCAUAUAUUAUUCGCAUCUGUACAAUAUGAAAAGAAUAUGCAUCUUGAAACAAGACAAACGAGCAUAUUAGAAAAAAAAGCACAGAGACAUCCAAGACUAAUUCACUAUUUCCAUCCAAAUCUCAAAUCAAAAUGCCUUGGUUUAUAUGUGCUUUUUUUAGAAUUUACCAACCUAUUGGAUCAUCUAAAAUCAAACUAAUAUUGUAAUGGUCCAAGUCUAGAUUGUGUUGGAUUAGAGUGUUCUGUUUCAUUUUUCCUAUCGAAAUUUUUUAUCUCAUUACUAUUUAAUAAAACUCUUGCUGCUUAACCCAUACGCAGAUGUUCAUGCAUCCAUCCAAAUCCAUACAUAGAGAAUUACAUGACUAAAUCAUGUCGUC